This 2760-nucleotide small RNA is filed under the name Pongo abelii (Sumatran orangutan). RNAcentral describes it as "retained intron". Lineage: Eukaryota; Metazoa; Chordata; Mammalia; Primates; Hominidae. The record is from RNAcentral.
AUUGUUAACAUUGUUUAUUGAGUUUUGAUACUCAGUCUUCUGAUUCACUUAACCCCUAACGGUCUGUUUCUCACCAGUUACUAAACUGUGUCUGCAUUGGGCUGGCCUGCAGCUGAGCGAUGCAGAAUUGAGCCCACCUUGGUUGAUGAGUGAUUAGGUUUCAGGCGGGCAGGGCUGCUCUCAUUAGAGCGGAGGUGCUCACCGUGUCCCGGCACUUCUGGGGGUGGAUGGUGGACCCCCAAUUCUGUCCCUCCCGGCCACCCCUCCCUACCCAGAGCCCCUUCACAUCCCUUGCACAGCCCCUCCGCCUGUCACAUCUCUGCACCGGGAUUAAGAGCCUGGCUCGGGUCUGCUAGCCAUCACCCCUGGGGUGAUGCUUGGGAAGGUGGCUGCCUAGGGCCUACUGUGGAGAGGAACCCCCCAGGCUGCUUCUAGAAGCCAGGGCUGCAGCCUGGAGGGUACAGGCCUAGCGGGGAGCUGCAGUGACCCCUCCCAGCCAAUGGCCCUGAGAGAACAGGCAGCGGAGCCCCCCCACCCCCAGUGAAGUGACGGGUGGUCCCUACAGUGGGGCCAGACCCUGAGGCAUCGCCCCUGAGUGAGCGUAUCUGUCAGCCUCUGGCCUGUGCCCUAGGACCUCCCCGAAAGCCCAGGCAGUAGGGGCCAUGGCUGGUGGCUAGUCCCCCGGGGAGGGGCUGCCCAGGUCCCUGCCCCUUGAAAGUCCGACACAGACAUCUUAGGGGGAAGGAGCGUGUCCUCCCAGGCACUCGGGGUCCCGGGGUGCAGCCCGGCCCUCCCCAACACCCUCCCUGUGCCACAGGCCCCGCACAGUCGGGCAUCCUGGUGGACCGCGAGGUGGUCAGCCUCUUCCUGCACUUCACCGUCAACCCCAAGCCACGAGUGGAGUUCAUUGACCGGCCCCGCUGCUGCCUGCGUGGGAAGGAGUGCAGCAUCAACCGCUUCCAGCAGGUGGAGAGUCGCUGGGGCUACAGCGGGACCAGUGACCGCAUUAGGUGGGGCUUGGGGUGCAGGUGGGGGGGUCCGGGCAUGGGGGUGGAGGACUCGGGGAUGAUGGAGAUGGGGGGGCAGGCAUGGGGGUCGAGGACUCAGGGAUGAUGACGACAGGGGAGGGCAGGCAUGGGGGUGGAGGACUCAGGGAUGAUGGGGGGGGGCCGGGCAUGGGGGUGGGCUCGCCCCAGCUCACCUUAGGCUGUCCCUGGGUAUCCACACGGCCGCCUGUCAUCUGCCAUGGCAGGUUCUCAGUCAACAAGCGCAUCUUCGUGGUGGGAUUUGGGCUGUAUGGAUCCAUCCACGGGCCCACCGACUACCAAGUGAACAUCCAGAUUAUCCACACCGAUAGCAACACCGUCCUGGGCCAGAAUGACACGGGCUUCAGCUGCGACGGCUCAGCCAGCACCUUCCGCGUCAUGUUCAAAGAGCCGGUGGAGGUGCUGCCCAACGUCAACUACACGGCCUGCGCCACGCUCAAGGGCCCAGACUCCCACUACGGCACCAAAGGCCUGCGCAAGGUGACACACGAGUCACCCACCACGGGCGCCAAGACCUGCUUCACCUUUUGCUACGCGGCUGGGAACAACAAUGGCACAUCCGUGGAGGACGGCCAGAUCCCCGAGGUCAUUUUCUAUACCUAGGCUGCCUGACACCGACACCGCCCUCCCUCUGUGGGGAAGGCUGGGGCCCCGAGGUCAUAUUCUACACCUGGGUCACCCGACACCGCCCUCCCUCCGUGGGGACAGCCGCAGCCCCAGGCCAUCAUCCGCUGCUGGGGCCCCCCCCCGGCCACGCGGUGCCAGGCCCAGUGUCCCCCCCGGGCCAUCUGUCCACUCCACGCCACCUUUGUCAGCAUCAGGAAGGGGUUGCCCUGUGUUCACGAGCGCGGCUGCUGGAUCAGGGCAGCCGGGGAGGUGGCCGGGCCAGUGGCCAGGCCCUGUGGAGACAAUCCCUCAGGACUGGGGACAGGGCUGUGCCGGCCUGGGCCAGGGCCCACGGACCCGCAGCUCAGGGCACCUGCCACGUCAUCUGACGGCGGUGUGCGUUCCCCGCGUCUCUUCACUGCACAUUGCAAUGCAUUUGCGAUUCCCACAUCUCUGCUAGGAGCCAGCCUGGGUGGCGCCGCUCCCAGAGCCGUGGUUACCAGACCUUGCGUUCCUUUUGUUCCUGUCCAUUUAUCGGGACACGGGCCCCACCUGUCACGUGCCCGAGGCCACCCAAGCCCAGCCUGCGGGGCGUUCCCACUGCCUGGGUGCCGGCUUGAGUUCUGCGUGUGUGGGAUUCAGUGUGGGGACGGCCCCUGCCGGAUAGGCCUUGCCCUGGCCCAGGUGGUGAGCGGUUUGCAGUGUCUGUUCUCAUCCACCUGAUGGGCCCAGAUAAGGGCCCCCACUGUCCAGCCUCCCUGGACGGCCCCCGCGGUCCCUGCAGCCCAAGAUGGGACUCAGACCCUGCGCCCCAGAGCUCCCCUGCCGCAGAAUGGGGCCCCAGCCGGCCCCGACCGGGUCCAGGAGCAGUGCUUGCCUGUACAUACUGUUGCCCUAGCCCGCCUGGUGCCGCGGGAGCCACCCCCAGGUGCUGGGGGGCAUAGCCCCUCCCCACCCCGGCCACGCCCCCACCUGCCCUGCGUGUUUCUGCCUUGUGACUCCUGGAAACUGCGUCCUCCCCAAAGCCAUGGGAGGGGUGUCCUCCUCAGACCACGCCCCUAGAUGAUUUUUUUUAAAUAAACAAACAAACGCACCUGCCCUGAGCGCA